RNAcentral lists this ribosomal RNA (429 nucleotides) under Chloroflexota bacterium. RNAcentral describes it as "Chloroflexi bacterium partial 16S ribosomal RNA". It matches the Rfam family "Bacterial small subunit ribosomal RNA", at positions 355 to 776 of the family's 1533-position model. The record is from RNAcentral. Lineage: Bacteria; Bacillati; Chloroflexota.
UGGGGAAUAUUGCACAAUGGGCGCAAGCCUGAUGCAGCCAUGCCGCGUGUAUGAAGAAGGCCUUCGGGUUGUAAAGUACUUUCAGUCGGGAGGAAGGUGUCAAGGUUAAUAACCUUGGCAAUUGACGUUACCGACAGAAGAAGCACCGGCUAACUCCGUGCCAGCAGCCGCGGUAAUACGGAGGGUGCAAGCGUUAAUCGGAAUUACUGGGCGUAAAGCGCACGCAGGCGGUUGAUUGAGUCAGAUGUGAAAUCCCCGGGCUUAACCCGGGAAUUGCAUCUGAUACUGGUCAGCUAGAGUCUUGUAGAGGGGGGUAGAAUUCCAUGUGUAGCGGUGAAAUGCGUAGAGAUGUGGAGGAAUACCGGUGGCGAAGGCGGCCCCCUGGACAAAGACUGACGCUCAGGUGCGAAAGCGUGGGGAGCAAACGGG